ACGAACGCUGGCGGCGUGCUUAACACAUGCAAGUCGAACGGAAAGGCCCUGCUUGCAGGGUACUCGAGUGGCGAACGGGUGAGUAACACGUGGGUGAUCUGCCCUGCACUUCGGGAUAAGCCUGGGAAACUGGGUCUAAUACCGGAUAGGAGCCAUUUUUAGUGUGAUGGUUGGAAGGUUUUUUCGGUGUAGGAUGAGCUCGCGGCCUAUCAGCUUGUUGGUGGGGUAAUGGCCUACCAAGGCGGCGACGGGUAGCCGGCCUGAGAGGGUGGACGGCCACAUUGGGACUGAGAUACGGCCCAGACUCCUACGGGAGGCAGCAGUGGGGAAUAUUGCACAAUGGGCGCAAGCCUGAUGCAGCGACGCCGCGUGGGGGAUGACGGCCUUCGGGUUGUAAACUCCUUUCGCUAGGGACGAAGCUUUUUGUGACGGUACCUAGAUAAGAAGCACCGGCUAACUACGU
This 463-nucleotide ribosomal RNA is filed under the name uncultured bacterium. RNAcentral's name for it is "partial 16S ribosomal RNA". It matches the Rfam family "Bacterial small subunit ribosomal RNA", at positions 29 to 506 of the family's 1533-position model. The record is from RNAcentral.